UAGUGCAAGAACAUGGGAUCCACGGAGAAGACGGGAGCAGUUUGCUCCAUACCUAAACAUUCGUAUUGGUUUGACUUUUGGCUUUUCCUGUUGUUUGACAUCGUAUUCUUUCUUGUUAUGCAUUUCAUCGUUCCAUGACGGCAGGCAUGUCAUGGAUCGCCAGGACCAAAGAUUGUUGAUGAACGUCGCUAAGAAACCCGGGAAUGAAGUCUACCUUUGCCCUCUGCUUUCACCAGAUCUGUGGCCAAGAUAACCUGUCAUUCAUUCAUUCACUCGUUCAUUUGUUUAUUAAUUUAUACAUUCAUUCAGUGGAAAUUGUUUACACAUGAAAACGAUUUCCUUUCAUUUAUUUAUGUAUGGUCCUGGCUGGCUCUGUUCUGUUAGCAAUGGCUUUGUUCAUCAACACUUGACAUGGCAUGAUCUACUUUACUGCUGACGCCAAAGCUUGGCACCAAAUGCUGAAAAAUAGCACUAAUGUGUUCAAUGAUGAUCGUAAUUGUGGUGUUACCCAUUGGAUUUUUUUUUAUAUUUAAUUGAUUGAUUGAUUGAUUGAUUGAUUUAUGGAUUGAUGUAUUAGAGGGAGAGCAGCUUCACAGAAGAGAGCUUCUGACAGCAAAUUUGAGGAAAAGUUGGUAAACCACCUUUCUUACCUAAUUUGAGGGUGCUGAUUCUGAAUAUUUUGCUUACCAAGCUCAACUCUGAGUUCUAAGCCGCAUAAUCAGCAUUUUAACAUAAAAUAGUGAUUGUUUUUGCUUAUUUUUCCCUAAAUU
This is a long non-coding RNA of Alosa alosa (allis shad), 770 nucleotides long. RefSeq lists it as uncharacterized. Lineage: Eukaryota; Metazoa; Chordata; Actinopteri; Clupeiformes; Clupeidae. The transcript is spliced from 3 exons. The record is from RefSeq and is a predicted model, not a curated record.